ACUUGCAUACUCUACCGUUACUCUUUUCCCUACUUGUACCUCAACUAUUUAUGUCAUGUAUUUAUGUACUUGACGCAGGGUCUGGUGUGGAACAGCUGCAACUCCGCAGAAAGCGGCAGAAGUCAACAAGUGGGGUUAUGUGACAUUUCUUUCAGCUGUCACGACAACUGGUUCCUGCAGGCCGUUACCAGUCUGUGCUCUGUAGGGACAAACAGCUGUAGUGUCAGCAGGGGUAAUGGUGUGUGUGUUUGUCUAUGUGCAGAGGGAGGGCAGCUGACUUUUGCCCCGGUAAUCAGAAUAUUGAUCUGGCAAGAGGCUCGUAGCAACAGGCUUCCUAUACUGGAAUCUGGGCCCGGGAAGUUGGCCAGUUGAUUGGCUUUGAGCACCCCACUAUCCCUGUCCAUCACCAGUAUGCUGUCAUAGCAACAGUGCCUGAGGUGAAGGCCCUGAAGACAGAGCUGCCAGUGAUCAGGGACCUGGAGGGCUCCUACUACCUCAGACAGGAGAGAGAGACGGACUGCUGUUUGGACCCUACGACAUUUACAUUUAAGUCAUUUAGCAGACGCUCUUAUCCAGAGCGACUUACAAAUUGGUGCAUUCACCUUAUGAUAUCCAGUGGAACAACCACUUUACAAUAGUGCAUCUAAAUCUUUUAAGGGGGGGGGCUAGAAGGAUUACUUUAUCCUAUCCCAGGUAUUCCUUAAAGAGGUG
Molecule: long non-coding RNA, 711 nt
Organism: Salmo salar (Atlantic salmon)
Lineage: Eukaryota; Metazoa; Chordata; Actinopteri; Salmoniformes; Salmonidae
Source: RefSeq, a predicted model, not a curated record